This 492-nucleotide ribosomal RNA is filed under the name uncultured bacterium. Its description in RNAcentral is "partial 16S ribosomal RNA". It matches the Rfam family "Bacterial small subunit ribosomal RNA", at positions 29 to 507 of the family's 1533-position model. The record is from RNAcentral.
AGUGAACGCUGGCGGUAGGCCUAACACAUGCAAGUCGAACGGCAGCACAGUAAGAGCUUGCUCUUACGGGUGGCGAGUGGCGGACGGGUGAGGAAUACAUCGGAAUCUACUUUUUCGUGGGGGAUAACGUAGGGAAACUUACGCUAAUACCGCAUACGACCUACGGGUGAAAGCAGGGGAUCUUCGGACCUUGCGCGAUUGAAUGAGCCGAUGUCGGAUUAGCUAGUUGGCGGGGUAAAGGCCCACCAAGGCGACGAUCCGUAGCUGGUCUGAGAGGAUGAUCAGCCACACUGGAACUGAGACACGGUCCAGACUCCUACGGGAGGCAGCAGUGGGGAAUAUUGGACAAUGGGCGCAAGCCUGAUCCAGCCAUACCGCGUGUGUGAAGAAGGCCUUCGGUUUGUAAAGCCCUUUUGUUGGGAAAGAAAAGCAGCAGGUUAAUACCCCGCUGUUCUGACGGUACCCAAAGAAUAAGCACCGGCUAACUUCGUG